AUGGCUUCCCUCGCACAUGCAGGCUGGCUGCUGAGGCUCCAGCAUACUGUCACACCUUCAUGUGGCACCAUGUCACACAGGGAGGCAGGACAGGAGAUAAAAAUCGAGGGCGCUUCCUUCUUUCUGCUCCUUUUAAAUCUCCCCAGAAGCUCCCAGUGGUUUUCCUUUGGGGGCCUCCUGGCUGCAGCACCAUCACUCGCCGCCUCGCAGAGGGGAAUGAGAUCACCUUCAUUGGCUUUGACAAUCACCGUCUCCCCUAAUGCUGGACGCACACCACAAUUAGGGCUCUAUUGGCAGAGAAGAAAGGGGAAUGGUGGUUGGGUAAGCAGCCAAGUGUGUCUGCUGCCCCCGACCUGACUGCCCCACCCCCAGUGGGGAGCUAGAACACCUUUUCCUUUGACCGACAAAUCAAAGCCUUGCCAGGAGUCUGCUGUCUGUGGGUAGCUCUCUGGAAUUAUUGCCAGCAGCGGCCUUUGCUGGUCAUUAGCAGACAUCUGGAUAUCCCAUCGGUGCUUUCUCUGCCUGGCAGGACUUCCUGAUGCCUACUGGGAUCUGAGCUUCUGAGUCUUUUGGAUCCUCUGUCUUAUCCACCUGGCUGACUCUUUUUGGUCUUCUAUACCUUGAUCUGUCCCUUCUGGGGUAUAUAUAAGACACUUUGGGACCCUUAAUGCCUUUAUAAAAAAAAAAAGCCAUUUCAUUUUUCACAAUACAGUCAUACAUCUGCAGUUUUUUUUGAUUAUGGCACAAAAUUACCAUGACUUCGUAUUAUUUUAAUAGAUUACUUUUAAAAAUAGUAGAUAAGAUUUUAAAAAUUCAAAUAAAUUUGAAGGAUUCUCUUCUGCUAACCUUAAUUUCUUGGGAUAUUUUUUAAAUGCUAGUUAAUUCUGUGAUAUAAACUAGUGGCUCUUGGAUUUUUGAUAUCACAUAUGGAGAACUGUAGGAAGUUGUUUCUUAUCAAUAUCUUUAAAAACAUUAUUAAGAGUUAGCUAAAUAGAACUAGACUUUUUUUAAAAAGAGAUUGAUAACUUACAAAGCACUUGGAUACGUAUUCUUCUAAUACCUUCUAUAACUAUUGUUCCCAUCUCACAGAUGAGAACAAGUGAGGUUCUAAGGGCUAAAGCGACUCAGCCAGGUUCUCCCUCUCUCCACAUAUUUGGUACUGAAACUAGCCCUUCUGAGUCCCUCUGGGCACUUACCCUUUUUCUGCCACAGACGGUCCAGUCCCCAUGGCAGCAUGCAGGGUUACAGAAGCCCAGUGAUAUCCACGGACAGCCCAGCCGUGCUCUCUGCUCUUUUCAACCUGUGCUACUUUCCCCAGGCUUUUCUUCCCUGUGGUGAAAUUUUCACUAAGAAAUAAUAAAUGCAAACAAAGCAGGUAUAAUAGGUUCAGUUACAGGUGACCAAAACCUUAAAAUAACAGUGAAAGUGUUAGUCACUCAGUCAUGUCCAACUCUUUGCAACCCCAUGG
RNAcentral lists this long non-coding RNA (1468 nucleotides) under Capra hircus (goat). Its description in RNAcentral is "lncRNA (ENSCHIG00010024729.1)". The record is from RNAcentral. Lineage: Eukaryota; Metazoa; Chordata; Mammalia; Artiodactyla; Bovidae.